AUAUAAAAAUAAAAAAGAAAACUAACAUUGUAUAACAAGUUCAAAACCCACCUAUUGUAACUAUCAAAAUUUUCCUAUAAAAGGGGGAAUAGGUGUAUUUUUGGGCUAAACAAGUGAGCGAGUGGCCCAAAUGAAUAGAAUGAAGUUAAUUAGUGAAAGGGCCUAAUCCAGUAUAGUAGUGAAGCUGAAGAAGUGUUCCACACGCUUGCAUUGCAACCUGAUCCUUCGAGAGCUUGAGCUUGUGCAUAGCUUUUAGUUGCGGGCUGCUGCUGCUGCUUCUUCAUUUUUUCUCUUUGUUGUUACAGACUGCAAUCGCCCACAUACUGGGCUGGUAUUAUAUCUUCUCAUUCCUCAAGCUCUCGCCAAAUUUCUUGUUCUCUUUGUCAGUAUAGCAGUUGCUUGUACUAUGUUGAAAUGAUGUAGUACUAGGAAAAGGAAGAGAAAGAUGCUAAGGGUGGCAGUGGCAUUGGCAUGGCAGAAGAAGAGAGUAGGAGGAAUGAGAAUGCCAUCAAUAGCAGCAAGGGCUGUUCAUGCCUUAAACGAUGAAAACUGCCCAAUUCUGAUAUCUCCAUCUCUUGUCUCAUUAGACCUCCCUGAUAUUUGGGCUUCUAAUCCCACCCCCCAUGACUUUCCUUCCGCUUAUAAAUGCUAAAUUAUCAUAUUCAAUUUUGGUAAAAGUGUCAAGCGCACUAAAGCGCAUAGGCCUCUUGGAGCCUAGACACAAAGCGCAAGCAUGCACUUGAUUGAAGUAAAUCACAUAUAUUUCAAAUAUAAUAUCUAUUAACCUAUAAUAGAAAUAUAUGUAACAUUUAAUAAAAUAAUAUAACUACUCAAAAUUUGUAUAUUUUACCUAUUAGGUAAGAACAAUUGGUUUCUCAAAAAAAAAAGGUAAGAACAAUUGUAUAAUGUUUGUAAGUUCAAAUUUUACUUAAGUUAUUUCAAUUCUUAAAACUUGUAUAUAGUUGAUUGAAAACAAUUAUCAAUGGACAAUAUCAAAAUAAUCAAGUUGUAGAAAGUUUAAACAUAACAUUUUAUAUAAUUCUCGUGUUUCAUAAAAAUACAUAAUCAUGAUGGUUACGAUUGAAUGGUGUAUAUGGUUCAAUCAACAUCUAAAAAUUAGAGACCAAAGAGCACAAGAAUAGUAAAUUAAUUUUGUUCGUAUCUUUUGACAUGUAAAUAAGUAAAUGUUUGUGUAAUACACCUUAAGAAUAGUGUUUGUAUAGUAAAUCAUUGGUCCGUGUCAUUCUUCAUGAUCAAGCAAUUAAUUUUGAUGAUUCAUAUCUUUUUUAGCAAUAAAAUAAAAAGGCGCACCUAGGCAUGCUUUGUGCUUCUUCAAAAAGCGCCAAAAAAGUGUGCCUAAAGCGCGCUUCAUCAAAUGAGCCUUUUUUAUGGCCAUGUGAAGCUCUCAAACCUUGGGGCUCCAAGCUUUGAGCUUUAAGCACUCUUAUAACAACACUGGUUGUAUUUGAUAUAACUCUAUCACUUCUAUUGCACAGAAUCUCAAUGUUGAGCUUUGAAGCAAAUUUGUGACUAGUUUCACACAGAAUGUUGCCAAUGAAUGAGUUCUAGCUCAAAUGGUAUCUGUCUCCCAAAAAAAUACUUAGCAGGUGAACUCACUGCUUGUGUAACUUACCAAUCAAAAGAGAAAAUAUAAUUUGUUUUAUAUCUGAAAGUGCCUACAAAGGUGAUUUUCUUCAUUUGGACAACAGCAUUGAGGAAAAUUUUUAACUGUUGAUAAUUUGUGGAGGUGGCAAGUGGUUGUUGUGGAUUGGUGUUGUAUAUGUAAGCAGAAUGGGAAGCCAUUGAUCACUUACUCCUACAUUGCCCUGUAGCUCGAGAGUUAUGAAAUAUGAUGUAUUCAUUAUAUGGGGUUCAUUAGGUCAUGCCACGUGGUGUAGUGGAGUUCUAGCUAGAUGUUCAGGUAAGUUCAACAAACACUGAGCUGUGGUGAUUUGGAGUAUGAUCCCUCAUUGUCUAAUGUGGGGUAUUUGGAGGGAAAGAAAUGCACGUACUUUUGAAGAGAAUGAAAGA
This is a long non-coding RNA of Quercus lobata, 2031 nucleotides long. RefSeq lists it as uncharacterized. The transcript has 3 exons. The record is from RefSeq and is a predicted model, not a curated record. NCBI's taxonomy places the organism in Eukaryota, Viridiplantae, Streptophyta, Magnoliopsida, Fagales, Fagaceae.